GGAGUUAGCCGGUGCUUCUUCUGUGAGUGAUGUCCUUCCUGCCGGUUAUUGACCCGCAGGCCUUCUUCCUCACUGAAAGUGCUUUACAACCCGAAGGCCUUCUUCACACACGCGGCAUGGCUGGAUCAGGGUUGCCCCCAUUGUCCAAUAUUCCCCACUGCUGCCUCCCGUAGGAGUCUGGGCCGUGUCUCAGUCCCAGUGUGGCUGAUCAUCCUCUCAGACCAGCUACGGAUCGUCGCCUUGGUGAGCCGUUACCUCACCAACCAGCUAAUCCGACAUAGGCUCAUCCGAUAGCGCGAGGCCCGAAGGUCCCCCGCUUUCCCCCGUAGGGCGUAUGCGGUAUUAGCCUGGGUUUCCCCAGGUUAUCCCCCACUACCGGGCAGAUUCCUAUGCAUUACUCACCCGUCCGCCGCUCGCCACCAGGGAGCAAGCUCCCCGUGCUGCCGCUCGACUUGCAUGUGUUAGGCCUGCCGCCAGCGUUCAAUCUGAGCCAGAUCGAACCCUGA
RNAcentral lists this ribosomal RNA (506 nucleotides) under uncultured bacterium. RNAcentral's name for it is "partial 16S ribosomal RNA". The record is from RNAcentral.